UAUAAGUUUGAAGAUCUUCUGAAGAAAUACGAGAUCACUGAAGACAAAGGCAUGCAAGAGGACAAGCUUGAAAACCGAAUGAAAAAUCUUCAGAAUGAACUAACCUUUAAAUACUUUGGCGAGCCUCAACUGUCGAUCUGGUGUCAGUUGACCAUAGAUCGUGCUACCAGCCAAGGAGAGCAAUCGCUCACUGAGCAGUUUAGCAUCCUCACGGCUGUGACAGAGCUAACGUUGACCAACGACUCGGACACAGACAGUAAAGAGGACCAACUACCUGAAUGGGACCAGAAGUAUGACUUUCUCAUCCGUCUUCUUGAACAGCUGUACAGCACAAAUCCCACAGUGGCUCAACAACUUGUUCUGAGCACUCUUGACGUGUUCACAGAGGUGUCAGAGAAAAACAAGGGGCUCCUUAGUCAAAUUCUCUUCAACAUGAUCUGGACACCUUCAGAAAUUCUGCUCUUUUUGCGAGGUGUUUCAGGCAUAAACCAAGAGUUAGCAACCUCAAUCCUUCAUACUGUGCAGACAAACAAGCUGGAUAUUCUCUCUACUCUCUCUAACCUGAAAGAUAAAGACCCUGUCAACUUUCUACAAUGGUAUGCUGAGGCAGAAGGGGACAAGGAUGCCGACACCAUUGUGAAUGAAAUGCAAAAUUAAAAGUACCCAGAGAAAAUAUUGUCUAUAAUGAAGGAAAUUCUAGGAUAUAUGACAGAGGAACUUCCAAAACAUGCAAAGGAGGACUUGGAUCAGGUAAAGAUAGAGGAAGCAAAGCAGAUGAUCAAGUCACUGGAUUUUACUAACCCUGACCUUGCUGUUCUCAAGGAGGUCCUAAUAAGGAUGUCUAUGGCUGUGCAAGACUGCUCAACCAUUUACACUCAAAACGGUAAGAACAUAGAAGGCUACUUUCCUAGCAUCACUCCGCUGGAAUCACUGCUCACUGCUGAGAAAAUAGAAGGGUACUUUCCCGGACUCACUCAGUUGGCAUCACUGCUCCUUCUACAAAAGUUAACAGGGAAAAAAGGUAUCCUUCUGGAAAUCGGCACAGGUGAAGGAAAAUCUUGCAUCUUGGCUAUGUUUGCCACCAUCCAGGCCAUCCGUGGCACUAAGGUUGACGUUGUGACCAGUUCUCGAGUCCUUGCUCGGCGAGACCAAGAGGAGUGGAAGAAACUGUAUGACAUGUUUGGUGUCACAUCCUCUGUUGUGCCACCACCACAGAUACAGGGAAGCUCCCCUGAAAGCAGGGAUAGUAUGCUACAGGAGGCUUACAGGAAACGAUUUGUUAACGGAACCGUUGGCAGCUUUGCAGCAGACGCAUUGAGGCAGGAAUUCGAGAAGGACACCACACGUGGGGAGAGGAGGUUCGACAUGGUGAUUGUGGAUGAAGUGGACUACAUGACCUUGGACAAUGGAGUUCAGGUGACAUUUCUAUCCCACGAGGCAAGUGGCCUGAGGCACCUCGGACAAGUCCUUGCUAGCAUAUGGGCCAUGGUAUCUAUGUGUCAGCCAAUUGAGAUGGAAGAUACUGGAGAGAUCGAGUGGGCAACUGGAAUCCAGCAUUUUCACAAGGCUGCAAAGUUAGCUGUUAUCGGUCCAGCGACAUCUAAAGAAUUCCCUGAAUUUCAUAUUUUGGAAGCCGGAGUGGAGUUGGGUAUCUAUUCAGAUGAAAAUGUUGAUAUGUUCAUGCAUGCUCUAGAGAACACAGAGAAAGACGAUACAACGGAGAACAGGAUAACUGUUGAUACAUUCUUGGCCAAAGUUGGAAUUACUCAACAGUGUGAUCUGCUCACCAUCAUGGAGAAAGCACUGGAGAAUGAUGUGGUCAUUGACUGUUACUCUGUGACAAACAAUAAAGCUGUGCUGGUUGAGGAGAAAAAGUUGCACAACAACCCUGAUAUCCUGGAAAUCAAAAUGCUUCUCCUCGAGAAUGGACGAGCCAGCGAGAUCAUACCUGAAGACAAACUCAUUAAGGCAACAGUCUCUGAGCUGAAGUCUAAAAUCAAAUAUUCGGGCAGCUCUCAGUCAAACUCAGAGUUUCUUGUGAUCCCCUCUUUCCUUGAGAAUUACCUUGAGAAUCAGUUACCAGUCUUUGUGGAAAACGCCCUGAAAGCCAUCAUGAUGACACAAGGCAGAGAGUACAUGAUUGAUCAGACGUUGGAAGCUGACGGAGACAAGCAUCUCUACCAUGCUAUCAUCCCAGUGGACUUCCGGGCCAGUGGAGUGUUGGAGAAGAACAAACGCUGGGGGGACGGCCUGCAGCAGUUUCUGGAGAUGAAACACCAGCUGGCAACCACUCCUUUGUCCAAUGUGACUAAUUACCUUUCAAACUUCCAUUACUUUCAAAAGUACCUGAAAGGGAAUGGGAUAUUUGGUGUGUCUGGGACAUUGGGGGGUGAUGCCGACAAAGAUUUCCUUGCAAGGCAUUACGAAACAGACAGCUACAUAAUACCAGCUCAUCGCCAUAAGAAGGUUGUUGAGCUUCCAGCAAUUCAGGUCAGUGGGCAAGCCCAGUGGAUGGAGAUCCUCUGUAAGACAGCAAUGAGGGUGGCAGAAAGUGGUCAGGUUGUCUUGGUCGUAUGUGAAGAUGUCAAGACCGCAAACGAGCUUCUGAAGAAAAUAGAGAGCGAGAAUCCACAUCCCCCCCAUCACAUUAUACACAAUCAGUGAGAAACACAACAUUGAGAGAACCAAAUUCAGAGGCGGACAUGUAAUCAUAGCCACAAAUCUAGGAGGUCGUGGAACUGAUAUCAAGGUUGAUCAGGAUGUCAACAUAGGUGGUGGCCUCUUCGUCCUCCUGACACAUUACCUGGCAGUCGCAGAGUGGAGAAACAGGUGUUUGGAAGAACUGGUCGGAAACCCGGGCAUGGUCCAGAUGAUCCUUUGUGGGGAUAACCUUGCCCCAGCAUACCAGGGCUAGCCUGUGGAGAUCAUGAGACAAUUGAGAGAGGAGUACGAAGUCCAACGCAUCAAAGAUAUGGAGACAAAUGAGCUUCUCGAAAUAAAAAUGAAAGAGGACCUGUUUGGCACGUUUUGUGAAUUUCUUGACAAGUUUCAUGGCAACUUCACAAAACAGCAGAGAGAUGACCUGUCAGGAAUGGGGCCGAAUGAUGUCCCUGAGUGUUUUAAAGAAAAGGGCCCUAAGUUUGAUUACCAGCCUGCACUCAAUGCUUUGAAAGAAACAUGGGCGUUGUGGCUUACCCUUCACGAGGAGCACAUCCGUCAGCACGAAUAUAUCAGUCUUCUUAAAGCAGACCUUCUUGAGCAUAUCACAAAUAGGGGCAACAUGCUGCUGAAUGGAAAAAGUCAAGACUUACACCUCCGCAACAAAAGUAAGUGUGACUAUGAAGCAAAGUCCUACUGGAAAGAUGUUGAAGAAUGUGACCCUUUUUACAGUGCCGUGGCAAUGUACAACCAAGCUUUCAUCACCAUCAACAUGGGAAAAGAUGGCUACAAAACAGAGGCAUGGAAAUUACUGGAAAGGGCAAAGACAUCUGUGGAUGUUUACUUGUCAGAAACCACAAAUACCAUGGUUUCUUUUCAGAUUGCCACAAAAGGGAACUUUGAACCACAUCAUGAAGGAGAAUGCAACUUUCUAAAGCAAAUAGAUUCCAGGAUGAGCAUUCACAAAGCUUGGAUACUUAACAUUGACCUUGCAGUAAAUAAACUUAAAGAGCUUGAGGGUGAAGGCACAGCCAUAACAGAGGUAUCCUCAGUGUACAGCCUCUCAGAAAAUCAAGACUACAUCACAGGAAAUGAACUCACGGCCUUGUAUGACAAUGGCCUGAGCAUUGUGUUUGAGGUGAAAAAGAAGCCAGAGUUCAGCUUUGACGCUUUGAUCUGUUUCUUCAUCAGUAUGUGUCAGGUCAUCCUUGGAGUUCUGGUUUGUGCCCUGUCGUUUGGCGCUGCAACCCAGAUUGGCUUAUUUCUCAUCUCUGAAGGAGUCUCUGACAUGAUUGAAGGGAUAUCUGGCAUGAUAUCGGGCACAUUCGAUUGGGCACAAUGGGCCAUCUCCAAAAGCAUCAGCAUUGGGAUGUCUCUGCUCUCCGCAGGGUUCAGCACCAUUAAAAAAGUUGCCAACACAGCAUAUAAAGUCCUCAAUGGUACUAUGAAACUCUCAUCUGUUGCAAAGGAUAUCAUUGGCACAGGAAAAUAUGUUUUCAAGUCCUCACAGGGAGCAGCAAAGUCUAUCUCCAAAGAAACAAUUAAGACUGCAACGAAGAAACUGGCAUCCCCUACAAACAUGAAGAUGGCUCUAAAACACGCAACCAAGUACGCAUUUCAGGAGGUAGGGAAGCAGGGUGUAAUCACAGGAAUAAACUAUGCCAUUGAUGCUGGAAUUGGGGCCAUCUUUAAAACAAUUUUAGAAAAAGCUUUCAAAGACAUGGUCAAUUCAACAGUCAAAAAGAAUGCCGAACUAGUUCUUAGUCUCACUGAAUACAUUAGCUCUGCAGUACCUAAAGGAGCUUUGCAGAACCACAGCAACUAUAAGAUUGACUCAAAGCUUGAACAACAAACAAAAGAUUUAGUUCAAGUUAUGACAAAAUAACUUAUUCCUGGCCUCAUGACUGAUGCCACCACAUCCCAAGUCAGUGAUGUUAUCAACAGACUCUCUGAGGUGUGCAAUAAUGCAACUGACCUUGUGGCAAAAAGUGGAACACAUUUUAUCGCAAAAGGAGUCAAAAUAAGUGUAGAAAUAGCUAAACACACAACAACCUUGGUCCAAAUGAUUCAGUCUAUUCCUACAGAACAUGUUAUCAAUGACAUAUUUGUCCUCAAAUUAAAAAAAUAAAUUGAAGAGCAGCAAAGAUAUGUGGAGCAGUAUGACCAAGAUGGCAGACAUGAUUUACCAGAUGUGAUUCGCCUAAAGGAUGAGUUCCUAAGCUCCAUUUCGGAAAGUGUCUCCGAAGCGUUCAUAGAUGCUUGUGCUGGUCAUAUGUCCUCUUUUGUGACGGGAACAUUCAAGAAGAAGCUCAAUGGAGUUACUGGAAAAGUUGUUGACAAUGUACUUGGCAGACACAAAACUGAGGCCUUUUUCCAGGACCGGCAGCAUAAACAUGAUAUGAAGUCAGCCAGUCAGAAGAUUGGGAAAGCUCCAUCAGAGACUGAAACAAAAUAACUUCUGGACUAUGCAGAGAAGAUUGGUGUUGUUAAUCAACCAGCCUCGGCCCUGGACAUUUAUGUCCUCACAAACAGUGACCUACCCCAUGGUAAAGGCAUCCAGUUCAAGGCAUCCAAAUCACUCUACGGCUGACCAAAGAGCCUGAGAAAACACACAGUGAGAAAGGAAUCCUCUCUAAAGCAAAAGACAGAAUCCAAGGAGUGGAAAGUCCAUACAGUGGUCACUUUGACAUCAUCCAAGAUGGCAAUGUAAUCCCUGUGCACUCAGAGAACAAGAACUGCCUGUACCAUGCCCUAGCACAGGCAACAUCUAACAGGUCUGAGGAUGAGAUCACGAGUCAAGCUGUGAAUCUACGAAACAAUGUUAAAGACCAG
RNA transcript from Oncorhynchus tshawytscha (Chinook salmon), 5490 nucleotides. RefSeq lists it as uncharacterized. The transcript has 2 exons. The record is from RefSeq and is a predicted model, not a curated record. NCBI's taxonomy places the organism in Eukaryota, Metazoa, Chordata, Actinopteri, Salmoniformes, Salmonidae.